UGGAUCACCUCCUAACAGGGAGACAACAAAAUGUUAAAUAUUAAUUUUGUCACCUUAGGUCGAUCGGUAUCUCAGGUUCUUAAUUACUUUAAGAAUUUCAUUUCCUAAGUUUUUUUCUAGGUCACACCCAUCACUUUUCCUGGGCCAUUAGCUCAGGUGGUUAGAGCGCACCCCUGAUAAGGGUGAGGUCCCUGGUUCAAGUCCAGGAUGGCCCAUAUCUCUAUGUUGGGGGUAUAGCUCAGUUGGUAGAGCGCCUGCUUUGCAAGCAGGAUGUCAGCGGUUCGAGUCCGCUUACCUCCACUGAUCACCACCUCUUCCAUAAUUUAAAAGAAGGGAAACGUUUUGAGUUGUGAUCAAAUCCUGAACGAAUCUAGCUUCCUAAUUAUCUUAUUAAGAUGCUGGACUCAUUGAAUUUAUUUCACUGUUUUCAGAGAACCUUGACAACUGCAUAGAUUAUUUUAAAGACAAUAAGCAUCUUUAAUGAUGCAGAUUUAUUAUUUAUGCGAAUGCAUUAAUAACAAUUCUAUUAAGCUGAUGCUUCAAUUUUUGAAGUUAUUGGUCAAGCUACAAAGGGCUCACGGAGGAUACCUAGGCACACAGAGGCGAUGAAGG
This 612-nucleotide transfer RNA is filed under the name uncultured Prochlorococcus sp. Its description in RNAcentral is "partial contains 16S ribosomal RNA, 16S-23S ribosomal RNA intergenic spacer, and 23S ribosomal RNA". The stretch from base 228 to 300 matches the Rfam family "tRNA". The record is from RNAcentral. Lineage: Bacteria; Bacillati; Cyanobacteriota; Cyanophyceae; Synechococcales; Prochlorococcaceae.